ACUUUGCAUUCAAGGAUUACUUCAAGAGGAUGUUCAACUUCAAGAAGGACAAGGAUGGUUACUGGAAGUGGUUCGGUGGCAACCUUGCUUCUGGUGGUGCUGCUGGUGCUUCCUCGCUCUUCUUCGUGUACUCCCUGGACUAUGCUAGGACAAGGCUGGCCAAUGACGCAAAGGCAUCCAAGGGUGGAGGUGACAGGCAAUUCAAUGGCCUGGUUGAUGUCUACCGCAAGACUCUCAAGUCAGAUGGUAUUGCUGGGCUUUACCGUGGAUUCAACAUCUCUUGUGUUGGAAUCAUUGUCUACCGUGGUCUGUACUUUGGACUGUAUGAUUCUCUGAAGCCCGUUCUCCUCACUGGCACUCUCCAGGUUUGUUCUAGUACCUUGCCACAUUCCAUUCUAUUGUCAAAUUUCUCUGUUUGUGUGACAGCCACUGACAUCCUUGAUCACCAUUCACCUGUUUGCAGGACAACUUCUUUGCCAGCUUUGCUCUUGGUUGGUUGAUCACCAACGGUGCCGGUCUUGCAUCUUACCCCAUUGACACCGUCCGCAGAAGGAUGAUGAUGACCUCCGGAGAGGCUGUCAAGUACAAGAGCUCCUUGGAUGCUUUCCAGCAGAUCCUGGCGAAGGAGGGUGCCAAGUCUCUCUUCAAGGGUGCUGGUGCCAACAUCCUCCGUGCCAUUGCUGGUGCUGGUGUGCUCUCCGGCUACGAUCAGCUCCAGAUCCUCUUCUUCGGCAAGAAGUACGGCUCAGGCGGUGCCUAGAGGGGAAGAAAUGAUGACGAACAAGAGAAGUCUGUUCCCAGUCCUGCCCUUCAAGGAUCUGGCGAACUUUUAUCUUUUUAACGUUGGAAGGCAAUAAUUUCUGUAGAGGGUGGAUUUUCCCAACAUUCGUUUUUGGUGGAGGCAUCGAACUCCAGAGGUUGUCGUAGGUUGGCGGCAGCGUUCUCAAAACAUUUACUAUCAUAGGGGUUGAGUUUGAGUUCGAGUAUGUGCCCUGAAUCGUUACUGGGCAAUUUUCCUUAAAUACAUUGUCCUCCAAUCCUACUGAGAUUAUUAUGGUCCAAGUUUAUGCUGUUGGUCUUGACAUCCUAUUUCUGUUUGCAUUUUUAGUUUAUGCUGUUGCUUUGCCUGUUCAUAAUUCUUAUUGAUUUGCCUGUGAUUCUUGUUUUACUUGCUUUGUCUGUGAGAUUCUGAUUCGUGUUAGUACACUGCCUCAGUUCCGAAAUGUAGUAGUGCGUAGCCAAACAUCACAAACUUUGAUCAAAUUUGCGCAACAUUUACAUCGUAUCAUUAACAAUAAUAAGUAUUUUCAUGUUAAAUAUAUUUCGUGUUGUAAGUAUAAAUAGUUUUAAAGUUCUGGAAAUUUUUGACUUUAAAAAAAAAUAUGCUUUUGUUGGUUUUCUCUCUUCCUGUUCUCCCUUUACAUUUGAAUAUCUCUUGCGAAAACAAGACGUGUACCAUCAUCUUUUGCUUCUCUACGCCAUAAGUGAUUUGAAAAUGACCCAUCUAAGGUUUGAAUUCUAUGGUAGUUUGAUUCCCAGGAUUGGAAUCCUACGGGAUUUGUUCACAAGGAACAUCAGUUUUUCUGUGACACAAUCAAACAAACUUGAACAUAUUAAGGAUUGAAUCAUUUGUAGAAAAUCUAGCAGCCACUUCAACCUUGAAAGAAAAUCAUAUGUUUUUCAGUGUUUUUUGUGACACCAUCAAACAAACUCAAAUCUCCAUUCCUUUCCUAGUGUAUUUUUUUUGUUCUUGUUUCCAAAAUUUGCAUUUCGUGACAUACAUCUACGCGACUUGUUAGAGAUUGUUCUAUAGACGAUGUAGACGAAAAAAUAACGAACUUCUGCAUCUCUGAGGUCUAAAAGAACUUUUCUAGUAGAUGAUGCAGAUGUAAAAAAAUAUAUAUCUCCGCCUUUCGAAGAUAUAAAUUAAAAUACUUCACAGUGCAAAUAUACAUCGUUCACCUAUAGGAAAUGUAAAAACAAAGACCGCACGCUAACUGUCCAAUAGAUUUCAUUUUUCUUUUGUUCGCCCGCCCGACGUUCGGGCCAUGGCCGACCUCGUCGCCUCCUCCGCCGCAGCCGCUCAUCUGCUGGGGCCUUCGCUGACACGACUACCGUCGGUUAUCCGUCGUCGCCCUGGUUUUGCCCUACCCCAGCCGAUCGCCGUUGCGGUUGCUGUCCCAUUGCCAGAUCUGACCGCUCCAUCGCCACCGCCUCCGGUUCGUCGCUGCCUGCCCAAAUCGGCCUAAUUGACCGCUUCUCCGCCGUCGAAUCACCGCCGUGCUGCUGAUCUGAGCUCCCCUCGCUGCCCCCAGGUUCGAGCCGCACACACGCCGCCCCUCCGACGCUCCUCUCUCUGCCUCGAAUUGCCGCUCCUCCGCUGCUGCACUGCCGCUGCUUCGCCGCCCUGAUUCGCGUUGCCGCCGUCCCGAUUCACCACCCCCGCCGCCCCUCCGCCACCCCACCACUGCCCAGACGCAGCCACCCCGAAUCGUGCCGCGCCGCCGCCGUCCCCACUGCCGCCGCCGAUUAAUUUUUACAUUUGCAGUUUGCAUUUUCUAUUGGAGUUGCUCUUUUAUAUCUCCGUUUUGCAUCAUCUGCUGGAGUUGGCGUUUUUUCAAAGAUGCAAAAAACACUUUUUAAAGAUAUAAAUCUCGUGUUUUACAUCUUUAAAUUUACAUAUUUUAUUGGAGAUGCUCUAAGCGGACCGAACCAAGGACUUCACUUACGAAACGAUGAAAAAUUGUGCAGCGGGUGCCAUGGUGGAGAACACUUUGUCGCUGGUGCAGGUGUAAGACCGUGAACAAUCUGACGAGCGCGGCUUCAGCUACUAGACGAUGAGAGGAUAUCCAACGACCAGCCUGCCAAGAGGCCAACGCCCGCCACACGCUCCCACCCUGACCUCGGCGCCGCCCGGCCGACCCGAAUGGCGACUCUCUCCGCCCCCUUGCUCCGUUCCCACCACCGUCACCUCCCCGUCCGCUCCUCGCCGCGCCGCUGCCCUUCCGCCGCCUUCCCGCGCGGGUUCGCUCCCCUCGAACCCCUCUCCUCCCGCGGGCCCUCACGCACCGCCGUCCGCUCCGCCUCGACCUCGGCAGCGGCACCGGAGGCCGCCGAGGCAACGGGAGGCGCGGCCCCGAGCGAAACGGCAGCGGAGGAGGAGGUGGUGGAGGCGCGCGUCGUGCUCCCCACCAACGAGUCCUCCGAGAACCUGCUGCGCAUCCGCCACACCGUACUGCUCCUGCCCUCCAUUUCCCUUCUUCCUCCGUGCUUCUACUGCCAUAAUUGCAGCUGUUUCAGCCAUUCAGUUUCUUAUCGUUCGAUGCGUGUUGCUGACUUGAUGUUGGCUGAUUUUGUGUUCAGUUAGUCAGCUUUGUUACUGUCCCCAACUGUAGCAGUGUUGGUUAAUUUCUGUUGCAUGGUUGCUCGCUGUUGCAGUGUGCCCAUGUCAUGGCGAUGGCCGUCCAGAAGCUGUUCCCCAACUCCAAAGUGACCAUAGGCCCCUGGAUAGACAAUGGCUUCUACUACGACUUCGACAUGGAGCCCCUCACGGAUAAGGACCUCAAGAAGAUCAAGAAGGAGAUGGUGAGCAUACAUUGGUUACAUUUGAUCACAGAUUGGAUUUCUGAGUGUCGAGCGAGGGAUUUAACUUGUUUACCAUGGUAUGUUGGUAGGACCGAAUCAUUCGCCGGAACCUUCCAUUGGUGAGGGAGGAGGUGUCCAGGGAAGAGGCUCAAAAGAGGAUCCAAGCGCUUAACGAGCCAUAUAAGCUGGAGAUUUUGGAGAGAAUUAAGGAAGAACCCAUCACAAUUUAUCACAUUGGUAAAUAUUAUAGUUUGGUAUCAGCUUACUUCUCCGAUGCUUGUUAUUUGCUAUUACUGAAUACUGAUCGGUGGAUUUUAUGUACUUGCUGCUGUGUCAUGCAGGAGAAGAGUGGUGGGAUCUGUGUGCUGGCCCUCAUGUUGAGUCCACUGGCAAGAUACAGAGAAAGGCUGUUGAGCUCGAGUCUGUUGCUGGUGCUUACUGGAGAGGUGAUGAGAAUAAUCAAAUGCUACAAAGGAUAUAUGGGACUGCAUGGGAGAGUGAAGAUCAAUUGAAGGCUUACAUCCACUUCAAGGAGGAGGCCAAGCGCAGAGACCAUCGGCGACUAGGUCAGGACCUUGAUCUGUUCUCUAUACAGGUAUGAUCUUACAUUCUUACUUCUAACAUUUACUUAAGAAACCAUCUGAGUAAUCCCUUAGUAAUUGAAGCAUAGCCUCAAGUUUCCUAGUGUCCGACAGUAUUGGACUUCACCAUUUUGUUGACCCCUAAAAGUUCAAUGGCAUCAUGCUAGCAUUCAUGCUUGCAAGGAAGUGACCACCAGAUCCAACCAAAGUAAUUAAAUGAUAUUACCACACCAUGUGAUAUGAAGUGAUCCCUUCGCUCUGUCUGGCCUAGCAGUGGGUCUUAUUUUGACAACACAUCUGCAUUCACAGAUAUUUGCUGUCACUGUCAAUUCUAUAUCAAUUUUAUUACUUUGGCAUUGGCAUCCAGACCCGACCUCUGUAAAUACCUUGCUAUCUGUGCGUAUGUGGUAUUCUGUUUUUGGUAAUAGUGACUGUAGCCAAUCAACUUUUAACAGGAAGAUGCUGGUGGGGGUUUAGUAUUCUGGCAUCCAAAAGGUGCUAUCAUCAGACACAUUUUAGAAGAUUCGUGGAAACAAACUCACCUGCAACGUGGUUAUGAUCUAUUGUACACUCCACAUGUUGCGAAGGCUGAUCUCUGGAAGAUCAGUGGACAUAUAGAUUUCUACAAAGAGAAUAUGUACAACCAAAUGGAUGUAGAAGAUGAGCCAUAUCAACUUCGGCCCAUGAAUUGCCCUUACCACAUCUUGGUAUACAAGAGAAAGCUACAAUCAUACAGGGAUUUACCCAUCAGAGUGGCAGAGCUUGGAACUGUCUACAGAUACGAGCUCUCUGGUGCUCUGCACGGGCUGUUCCGCGUAAGAGGGUUCACACAGGUAUUUCCUUGAUUCCGAAUUUGAUUUUGUCUAAUUGCAUGACGAUGUUUUCCUGUAUUCUGCAACCACCAGAUAAAUAUUGAACGUUAUGCAAGGUUUUGUGUUUUCUGAGAUGACAUAUGAUUUGUUGUACUUAGGCAUUUGUUCUUUUCUAGAAGCGUUCUGCAUUUAUUCUUCAUUUUCUCUGGACUAUUUCCCACAUUGUUAUCUUAACUAGCAUGGAUGCUUAAGUAAAGGCAUUGUUCAGUAAUUCCCUAGGUAGACCUUUUCUUGUGCCCUAUUAAGAAAACGUGGAGGCCCCGACUCACAGUUAUGUAUGUUAUAUGAUUUUGUUAAAAUUAUGCCCACUACUCUGACAUUACUAACAUGGGCUGCUCUAGGUGUCUGCAACAAGUUUUAGACCAUAAAAAUAUCUGUCAAAUGUUCAUUGUAAAAAUAUAUUAAAAUAUGUUUAUUAUGCAGGAUGAUGCCCACAUAUUUUGUCUCGAAGACCAGAUAAAAGAUGAAAUUAGAGGAGUUCUUGAUUUAACUGAAGAAAUACUGGGGCAGUUUGGCUUCCGGAAUUUUGAGGUAAACCUUUCAACCAGGCCAGAAAAAUCUGUUGGCAGUGAGGACAUAUGGGAAAAGGCAACAAUUGCUCUGAAAGACGCACUAGAUGAUAAAGGAUGGGGAUACACGGUUGAUGAAGGGGGAGGUGCUUUCUAUGGUCCAAAAAUUGAUUUGAAAAUUGAGGACGCUCUUGGAAGAAAAUGGCAAUGUUCCACCGUGCAGGUAAGUUAUAUUUUUUUCUACAAAGAAUAAGCAAAUUCGUGGAUUUUCUUCGAGGGAAAAGGGCAUAUAACAUCAUUCGUUUUUCAUAUAUUUUAGGUUGACUUCAAUUUGCCUGAACGGUUUGACAUCACUUAUAUUGACUCGCAUACUGAGAAGAAACGGCCUAUCAUGAUUCAUAGAGCCAUCCUUGGGUCUUUGGAGCGAUUUUUUGGCAUCCUCAUUGAAAACUACGCUGGUGAUUUUCCACUUUGGCUUGCUCCAACCCAAGCCCGUAUUCUGCCUGUCACAAACAAUGAGGUUUGCUCCCUCUACCUUGCAUUAGUUUCACUUGUUAAACCAAUAUUUUUACCUUGUACUGUAGUAGAUUUGUGCGAAGUAAAGAAGGUACUACUACUUUAUAUCUAGGUGACCCUAGGCAGGACAACAACAUACUUUUAUUUGUUAUUUGCAUGGCACACACAUAUCAGAUGCUUGAUUUUUGUUAGCAUCACUGACGAAUCCAUGACAUGUUUCAAAAUUUCAGUUGCAGUACUGUAAUGAGGUGGCUUCAGAGCUGAAAUCGAGAGGUAUCCGCGCCGAGGUAUGCCACGGCGAACGUCUGCCGAAGUUAAUCAGAAACGCCGAAACACAAAAGGUGCCGCUCAUGGCGGUCGUUGGCCCCAAAGAAGUCGAGGCCAGGACGCUCACCAUCAGGUCCCGGCAUAACGGGGAGAUGGGCACCAUGCCCGUCGACGAUUUCAUCAGCAAAAUCCAAUCGGCCGUUGCUGACAAAUCUUCCCUGUAGAUAUCCCAGUCUGUUAAAACUUCAGUUCAUAUCGUAGAGCAGUAGAUCUUCUGCUGCACAUACACCGUACAGCGCCCACCGGAGUGCUUCCGACGAAACCGAGCGACGGAGGUCCAACAAUUUUGUGCAGAAUUGCCAUCACGACACACUAUAUAGUCAGCAACAGAAGCCCAGCAUUCUUGAUUGUACAUAGUUUGUGACCAGACCACAUUUCAGUGCAAGUUUUCAGCUAGACCUUCUUGCAGCUCCUUAUACAAUCACGUCGAUAAUAUUACAGAAAUGAUGCGACUGCAAUCUGCACUGCACCUGCACAUCAUUGGCAUUUCAUGAAUCUCCAGGCAGCGGUGAUCUUGAUUAGACGGGCGAAACCCAGCAGGAUGGAUGCGCGGGCGCAUUUGCCGCGACGUUUGCCUGGUCGGCAGACAAACUGUAAUGGCCACUUGCCGCUGCAGAGCGAGCAAUUGUGUGCGGUGCUGAGUCGUUAAGUCGUGCCGCCGAGAUGAAUUGGUCUGUCUGCGCCUGUGAGGCGGGGGGCCCCGACCCGAUUGAUUGGGGCGUCACUCGCUGCGGGUGGGAGGGCGUUGUGCGGAUCUAUGAUUGGAGCGUGAUGGACGGACCGAAUUUUACCGGGCAAGUCCGACAACACCUGGGACAAAAACCUGCAGGCUGGAGGACACUGGGAUAGGUAACUUCUCCACCCCAGUCCCAGAUCAGAUCUUCACUUACCCCGCGGCGUCCGUAAAAGAUCCAGCGGCAGCAUAAAAGUGGUGGGACCACGUAGCAGAGGAGCGCAUGCUCAUACACACAAGAAAUAACUCAAUUUUACAGAGCCGUCAUCUUCCUGGGUGGAAAAGAUGGAGAAACGUGAAUUACCUCUAGAGAUAAGAGGUAAAGCCUUUUCAGCUAUUUGUAAUUCGCGAUUUAAUCAUGAGGCGCUGCACUUCUAAUGUCAGGAUUGCUAAAGGGAAAAUUAAUUGCGUAAGAAAUGAAGAGACCGUAGAUCUUUAGACAGAAAGGCAUUCUUCCUUGUAGUAUUAAAUAAAUCAAAAGCCCACAUCGAAUUGAGCAAGUUUGCUUGGUUUGCCAGCUUACAAAUUAUGCGCGGCACCGUUUUUCGGUUGCAUUCACAGCAAUGCUUUUCUUUUUCUUUUUGAGAAACACAGCAAUGAUCCGUGAGAUACGGAAAAGAAAAAGGCCCAUUAAUCUGCACUAACUCGACUACAUCUUUUUUUUAGCAGGAACUCGGCUCUAUCUACGAGCAGGGGUUCUCAGUUCUCACACAUGAUCGACAAUAAAACGCCCCAACUAACGCUGGUGGUACAGUUGUACCAGCGCGCGCCGUGCCGUGCCGCGAGCGGGAGGGCUUCUUCCGUCGUGACCAUCACGUCGCCUCCACCACUCCCCUGGUCUCCUCCCUCCCUCCACCACCACCCUCGCCCGCAGAGGAAUUAAAACCUCCUUAUCCUCUCUGGCGCGCUGCUGCCAUUGCACCCCUAGCUGCCUGGAUCCAACCGUCCCGUCCCUCGCCCCUUCCCUCUCUGAUCCGUGCGCUCUCCUUUUGGAGCCUUGCGCCGCGCCCCUUUCUCCCUGUCCCAAUCCGCUUCGACGUCCCUCCUCUACCGGCGCGUUCUCUCCUUUUGGUGCCCCCCAGCGAGCGAGCUCUCGGUGCCCGUGCCACCGCCCCUUUUGCCACGCUCUCCUCUUUUUGUCUCCACCUUCUUGGCUAGCCGUUGAAGGGGCAGCCAUUGUUGCGCAGCCGGUGAGGUGAGCUGAGGAGGAUGUCGUCCGCGGUGGAAGCCAUCUCCUGCUCCAAGGUCGCCGACAUCGCCGCGGCCGGGCCUGCGGAGGCCAAGGAGUGCGCGGCGGCGGUGGCGGAGCACGGCAACGGCAACGGCGGGGCCGGGGACGCCGCGGCGACGAACGGGAAGAAGUGCGGCGGCGACGUCGCGGCGCCGCCGCAUUGCGGCAAGGGCGUGGAGGAGGAGGAGGACGAGGACGGCGAGAAGGUCCCCGAGCACAUCGACCUCGGCCCUAUCCUCAGCAUCAAGGACCAGCUCGAGAAGGACAAGGUAACAUGUCAGCAUGCGCCGCAUUCUCGUGCCUGAAUUCUUCUAGCUGCCUGCCGUCGACCGAUGGAUGGAUCGAUUGAUGCGUCUCCUUUCUCCAUGACAUUGUGCAGGACGACGAGAGCCUGAGGAGGUGGAAGGAGCAGCUGCUCGGCAGCGUGGAUUUGAACUCCGUGGGAGGUAAACCUCUGCAACCAUGCAAGAACUUCUCGUCCGGGCAGAUCGAUAAUUGCUCGCGUUCAAUUUGCCCCGUCCUCGUGAACCCUGCGUAAUGGCGGGCAACACCACCAGUACCAGUACGUGUACGUAGGACACCGGCACUUGCGCAGUUUGGCAUGUGAGCACCGCCGUGUUCCGUCGUCAACACGCACUGCCCCGUGAACCCAUCCGUUGCUUUCCGUGCUUAAUUAUAGAGCGUUUUCACGACUCCGUCUGUGCACCGGCCGGCCGGCCGGCCGUAGUGGUACUACUCAACAGUAGAACUGGAGCGGGGAAAAUUUUAAAAGGUGGUGGGCUCCGUUGGCUAGGUCGUCCGGCCUUGUCCUUCCGUGCUAAUCAUUUCGUAGGGAAAAAACAGACACAUGGAGCCCCCCGUUUUCUCGAAUGCACUGGUCUGGUCGGUCCCCGUACGUUGCCGUGCAUGGUUGAACUAUUGUGCCUUCGCCAUUGACGAUAUGCGUUCAGAGUUUUCAGACUUCAGAUACAGGGUAGUAGUACUGAUCGUAGUGCCUUCUUGCUGCCCUGAAAGUGAUGCAUCCCGGGAAUAAUGCAUGAUUUGUCGUGGUGAUAGCCAAGUCUUUGUGACUUUUGGUCCGAUUAUGCCCAACACGUCUUUGCAGGGCAUAAUUGAUGGGAGGCAGCCUUGUUUGUCUGACAUAACAGCAUAAACCGUUAAGCACGUUGUUCAUGUUUUUAGGAAGGCAUUUCUAACAUCAGAAUUUAGAAUUCAAAACGAUCCGUUAUUUGAUGGGAGAUUUCGAUGUGAGAUUUGAAUGCACGGUGAUUGAUUGAUUGACUGGUGCAGAGACGCUGGAGCCGGACGUGAAGAUCAUGAGCCUGUCCAUCCAGUCCCCGGGGCGGCCGGACAUCUUCCUGCCGCUGCCGGUGGAGCCCACCAGCGGCAAGGGGGUGUGGUUCACCCUCAAGGAGGGCUCCCCGUACAAGCUCAAGUUCACCUUCUCCGUCAGCAACAACAUCGUCUCCGGCCUCCGCUACACCAACACCGUCUGGAAGACCGGCAUCAAAGGUACUAGUAGUAAAAACGAAUGAAACCGAUUCACCAAUUCUCUGCUUGCAGUUAACGAAUCGUGAUGGUUUUGCUGGUGCAGUUGACAGCACAAAGGAGAUGCUGGGCACGUUCAGCCCGCAGCCGGAGCCGUACGCGUACGUGACGCCGGAGGAGACCACGCCGUCCGGGAUGUUUGCCCGGGGAUCCUACUCUGCCAAGACCAAGGUCGGUAAUCAAACGAUGAUCGAGUUUAAUUGUUCAGAGAUGCACUGCAGGAUUCAGAGGUCUGACGGUUCGACGUUUCUCUCUAUCUUUGGCAGUUCCUGGACGACGACCGGAAGUGCUACCUGCAGAUCAACUACACCUUCGACAUACGCCGGGAGUGGCCGUCGUCAAGCUGAGCCUUCGUCCAGUCCGGUCCGCCGCCGUGUACAAGUGAGACGUGCCUGCCUGCCUGCCUUGGUUACUACUGCUGCCGUUGAAGCAGACUGGUCUUUGUUUCGUUUGCGUUUUACUACUACCUGUUUUUUCGUGGUUGCCCUUAGGGCUAUUGUCUCCUGUGCGUCUGUGUAAAUUUGGUUCGGUUGAUUGUACGUCGUAGAGGCCAUUCGUCUGUCCGCGUGUGUGUUUGAGCUUUGCCAGGGUCUGUUUUGAAGAACGAACUGUCAUGUUGAGUUCAUGUAUAAUGCACCAGAGCAACGCGGCUGCGCGCACUUCGUGUAAUGCUCAAGAAAGAAAGAAUAUCUGCCACUCACAUUCUGAAGGUUGGGAUUCAUCUUCUGACCUGCGACUUUUGUUUGUCAUGUGUAAGUUGCCGAUUGCCUAACUUCCACAUGGACAUGGUGGUGCGCAGCGCACACCGGAGACCGGCCGGAUUGUGUGCCUGACGGAAGGGAUUUCGGGCCGGCCGCCGGAAAGCCGAGAGCGACGAGGCAAUGCCCGGGUCGUCGCCUGUGGGUGGCUGUAGCGCGACGAUUCUCCGCAACUUGGUAAAAUGGGUGCCCGGCUGUUCCUUGUUACUACUUCCAUCGGCCACUACCACAGGAAACUCGAGAUCGGCGUGGAGGUGCUCGCCCUCGCCAUGCGAUUCCCGGUGUGGGAAAUCGGACGAACUUUGUGGCAUGUUCGUUUUGGCACCUCUCCCUCCUCUGCUCGGCUAGUAUAAUGGUCUAUAGCUGGCCAAACGGGCCGGGCCAAUCAGGCCAGCGCACGAUCACGCCGGCACGGCCUGCUCGUCGUGCCUGGCACGCAGCACAACUUGGGUCAUGCCUGGGCCUAGAGACUGGGCCUGACACGCGGGCCGGCACGGCAUGGCCCGUUUAGUAUUUUUAUUUUUUUCAGAAAUUUACAUAUACAUAAUAUGACCUAAAUUACAGCACAAUAAGCUUAAAAUACAGUCCAAUAGGCUGAAACAUAUGUGGCCUAGUGUGCUAAACGUGCCACGGGUCGGCCUGUUUAAUAACCAGACCGUGCCUAGGCCGAGGAGUGGCACACGUGGGCCGGCCCGGCCCGGCUACUAAACGUGCCAGCUCUGUAAUGGUGCUCUUGGUUAUAGCGAUCACACUGGCGCACAUUGGACUGUUUUGCUAAAGCACGUCCUUCGCCUCCAGCUGAAUCUCUGGAUCGAUAGCUCCAUGAGGCGAGCACCCCUAUUCCCCGCCUACAGCGAGUGUAACUCGUGACUCGCUUAAGGGGGCGAGCAAUAUACCCACGCGCAAGUGAGGCUGAAGCCUGUUUUUCUGUGUUUUUACAAUUUCUGUUUCUGUUUUUGUUUUAUUUUGUAUUUUGUUUAUACAUUAAAAUACUUUAAAUAUAUAUGUACAAAACUGCACUUUAAAAACACAUAAAAAAUAUUUAAAAAAUGUUGAAUAAAUAUUAGAAAUCUUAAAAAAGAUUUUGAAAAUGUUGAAUAAUUAUUAAAUAAUUUUCAACGAGUACAUGAAAAAUGAUGAACAAGUAUUUGAAAAUGUUGACUAUUGAUAAUGUUGAAACAUUAUUUAAAAAUGUUGAAUACGUACUAAAAAUGUUAAACAAGUAUUUGAAAAAUAUUGAAUAAUUAUUAAAUAAUUUUGAGCCAGUAUUUGAAAAUGUUGAACAAUUAUAUGAAAAGUGUUCAAUAAGUAUUAAAAAAUGUUGAAAUAGUAUUUGAAAAAUCUUGAAUAAGUAUUAAAAAUGUUAAACAAAUAUUUGAAAAAUAUUGAAUAAUUAUUAAACAAUUUUGAGAGAGUAUAUGAAAAAUUGUGAACAAAUAUUUGAAAAUGUUGAAUAAGUAUUUAAAAUGUUGUACCAUUAUUUGAAAAAUACUGAACAUGUAUUUGAAAAAUAUUGAACAAGUAUUUGAAAAAUGUUGGACAAGUAUUUGAUUUUUUUGAACAUGAAUUUUGAAAAAAUAUUGAAUAAGUGUUCGGACAGUGUUGAACGUGUAUACACAGAAUGUUUAUCACUUAUUAGAAAAUGUUUUGGACAUAUACAAAAAAGUAGAGGGAAAACGAAAACAAACAUAAGAAAAAACAAAGAAAUAGAGACAAAAAAACCCCAAAAUAAUGGAGAAGGAAAAAGAGAACCAAACAAAAAUGAAGAAGAAAAAAGAAAAGCAAACCAAAAAACGAGGAAAGCCAUGUCAAAAAAGAAAAACAAAAACCAAAAAAAAA
RNAcentral lists this long non-coding RNA (12499 nucleotides) under Triticum aestivum (bread wheat). RNAcentral describes it as "long non-coding RNA (TAES_LNC010626)". Lineage: Eukaryota; Viridiplantae; Streptophyta; Magnoliopsida; Poales; Poaceae. The record is from RNAcentral.